Solea solea (common sole) is the source of this 1237-nucleotide long non-coding RNA. RefSeq lists it as uncharacterized. Lineage: Eukaryota; Metazoa; Chordata; Actinopteri; Pleuronectiformes; Soleidae. The transcript is spliced from 3 exons. The record is from RefSeq and is a predicted model, not a curated record.
GCUGUUGAAAGGCUGCAGGGAGAGAAAAUGAGAUCUGAGGACCGGAAAGUGGAAUUGAUUUCAUGCUUAGCAAAAUGAGGGUUUCAGCAGAGGAUCUUUUUGUGGCGAGGCUAUGGAAUCAGAAGGACAGUUUGUCUGGGCAACUGGGAGAUUUACAGUUUUUCAUGCAGCCAACCAAGACAUUGGGGUUAACAUCAUCUCAAAUGGCUGGCAAAGAUUGCAUGUAACUGUCAGUGUAGGACAAGAAAGGCAGGUAUAGGUUAGGGAGGACAUCCAUCGGUGAGCUCUGACUGGAUGUGAGGACCUGUCACACUUGACCAGAGAUGAAGGCUGCAGCGCAUUCCUGGAUCAGAGGACUCCAUGUUGGACACCACGACCUGGAGAAGUCCCACCCUGGAUGGCUGCAGUGAUGACCUAGCCCAAGAUGAACCGACCCUUCUAUGACGAGGACUUCGCCCAAGAUGAACCGACCAUUCUAUGACGAGGACUUCGCCCAAGAUGAACCGACCCUUCUACGACGAGGACUUCACCCAAGAUGAACCGACCUUUUCCACGGGAUGUCUUCAGAUGUUGGACCUUGCCAAACUGUACACAUGCCUCAAUGGCUGCUACGUCACUCUGCCCAACAGGACACGGUCACCGAGAUUUAAAUUUUAUUUUUUUAAAUGGACUUUAACCCGCCUUGUCCCCACUGACCCACAACCACACAUAACAAAACACUGUACAUGUGAUGUAUCACCACACUAAAAUACAGACACUGCUACCUCAGCCUGUUUCAGUCUGUAAAAGAUCGCAAGCCCUCUGCAUGACCCAACAGCAUCGAUGUUUGAGUUAUUUAAUUGCUCAAUUUUUAAAUCAGUCAAGAUUUUAUGAGCUGGGUCUUUUUCACACAACAGAGAACAAGGUAAAUUGAGUCGACUCGUAACAUGGUAAGGCAUUUCGUCCUUCCCCUUCUUCUCUGUGUGUGAGGAAAUCUGGCCACAGAUCCUGACUGAUUGGCAUACCAUAGCUGUGCAGUUUCCAAAAUCAGACAAGGAUCCAUCUGAUUUUGUGACUCGGCCUGUCGUGAUAUGCAUUUAUUUUCCUCCGAAAAAAGGAUUGGAAUGGACAGGUUUGUAGUGUAAAUCACAUCACUUGUAGAUGGUGAUGGUGUACAGACACUGCUACUUUCAGCCUGUAAUGUUUGACAUUGAAAACUUGUAUUUAUUGCCUUCUUUAUAUCAAGUAAAACUUUUGU